CAAACGACUCUCGGCAACGGAUAUCUCGGCUCACGCAUCGAUGAAGAACGUAGCAAAAUGCGAUACUUGGUGUGAAUUGCAGAAUCCCGUGAACCAUCGAGUUUUUGAACGCAAGUUGCGCCCAAAGCCAUUCGGCUGAGGGCACGUCUGCCUGGGCGUCACGC
RNAcentral lists this ribosomal RNA (164 nucleotides) under Ionactis linariifolia. Its description in RNAcentral is "5.8S ribosomal RNA". It matches the Rfam family "5.8S ribosomal RNA". From Rfam's summary of the family: 5.8S ribosomal RNA (5.8S rRNA) is a component of the large subunit of the eukaryotic ribosome. Lineage: Eukaryota; Viridiplantae; Streptophyta; Magnoliopsida; Asterales; Asteraceae. RNAcentral also lists the same sequence under 5 other names. The record is from RNAcentral.